This 76-nucleotide transfer RNA is filed under the name Candidatus Zymogenus saltonus. Its description in RNAcentral is "tRNA-Gly". It matches the Rfam family "tRNA". From Rfam's summary of the family: Transfer RNA (tRNA) molecules are approximately 80 nucleotides in length. Their secondary structure includes four short double-helical elements and three loops (D, anti-codon, and T loops). Lineage: Bacteria; Deltaproteobacteria; Candidatus Zymogeniales; Candidatus Zymogenaceae. The record is from RNAcentral.
GCGGGCAUAACUCAGAUGGUAGAGUGUAAGCUUCCCAAGCUUAAAGUCGCGGGUUCGAUCCCCGUUGCCCGCUCCA